Molecule: transfer RNA, 58 nt
Filed under: Perkinsus olseni
Lineage: Eukaryota; Perkinsozoa; Perkinsida; Perkinsidae
Description: tRNA-Thr
Rfam family: tRNA
About the family: Transfer RNA (tRNA) molecules are approximately 80 nucleotides in length. Their secondary structure includes four short double-helical elements and three loops (D, anti-codon, and T loops).
Source: RNAcentral
UAGCUUAGUUGGUAGAGCACCCGCUUAGUAAGCGGGAGGUCGUCGGUUCAACUCCGGC